GCAUCUUCCCCGUAGCUUUUAAGCCUUAUCCACUCAUCUCAGGGGCCAUGGGCGGUGCUGGUGCCCGCCGCCCCCGGCGUGCGGCGAGCUUGGCGCGAGCGGCUGCGGCGCGCACGCGCAGGGCCGCAUGCGAGCGGCAGCGGGCAAUGGCCGCGCCCGUGGAGAAGGAGCGGAGUGCGGCCAAGGGGCGGCGCACAAGUAAGCCGUGAGCCUGCGAGGCAAAGGCGCAUGGCGGUGACCGUGGAUACGAGUGAGCUUUUUCUUGCUUGCUCCCCAUCCCACACUUUGCAGCUUCGUCUCGAUCAGCUCCCUUCGUUUCAUCGCCGGGCGUUCUCGACAGGCCAGAGUCCGCUCCGAAUGCCGCCUGCCCGAUAAUGUCGAUGGCGAGGCUCACCGCCAAGUCGGAGAAGACGAUCUCGUCGCCGUCGUUGAGGUUCGUCGCUGCGCGCUGGAUGCACAACUCCAUGGCCCGGAUUAGCCCCGCGAUGUGAGACGGCCGGUAGAUGGAGAUGAUUUUUCACAUCGUUGAACAGGCAUGUGCGCGUAGAGGGGGUAUGGGUAUGAACGGCGGGUCUCCACCCAAGUGGGUCCAAUGUGAGGGGUAGGUGACCCCGAUAUGAAUGAGAAAAGUUUUUAAUUAUUUUCGAUCUUUAUAGUAUAGAUUGGUGUGAAACCACAAGCCCUAACCAUUGGACUAUGCAUUCUUGCCUACAAUCAAUCCAUAUAUCUAUUUAUUUUCA
Panicum virgatum (switchgrass) is the source of this 740-nucleotide long non-coding RNA. RefSeq lists it as uncharacterized. The record is from RefSeq and is a predicted model, not a curated record. NCBI's taxonomy places the organism in Eukaryota, Viridiplantae, Streptophyta, Magnoliopsida, Poales, Poaceae. The transcript is spliced from 2 exons.